UGCCAGCAGCCGCGGUAAUACGAAGGGUGCGAGCGUUAAUCGGAAUUAUUAGGUUUAAAGGGUCCGCGGGCGGGAUUUUAAGUCAGUGGUGAAAGCCUACAGCUCAACUGUAGAACUGCCAUUGAUACUGAUAUCCUUGAGUGUGGUUGAAGUGGGCGGAAUAUGUCAUGUAGCGGUGAAAUGCUUAGAUAUGACAUAGAACACCAAUUGCGAAGGCAGCUCACUAAGCCAUUACUGACGCUGAGGGACGAAAGCGUGGGGAGCGAACAGGAUUAGAUA
RNAcentral lists this ribosomal RNA (279 nucleotides) under uncultured bacterium. RNAcentral describes it as "partial 16S ribosomal RNA". It matches the Rfam family "Bacterial small subunit ribosomal RNA", at positions 506 to 784 of the family's 1533-position model. The record is from RNAcentral.